UGUCCUCAUUUCCUAAUAAAAAAUAAUCUGUUAUACUAUGCUAAAGAGGUUGAAGGUCAGCGAAGAGACUUGUUGGUUGUCCCAAAACAAUAUGUGUCCACAGUGUUGCAUCUGGCUCACAGCCAUGUCCUAGGGGCCCACCUAGGGGUUGAGAAGACAAGGCAGCGGAUUGGGAGCCGGUUCCACUGGCCAGGGGUGGUAAGGGCUAUAGAGGAUUAUUGUCGCACCUGUGUUGAAUGUCAAAAGAUGAGUCCCAAGCCACACUUUAAAAGUCCCCUAAUACCUCUACCGAUAAUCGAUGUACCGUUUUCUCGCAUUGCCAUGGACUUAGUGGGGCCGCUGGUGAAGUCUGCCAGGGGACAUCAGUAUAUUCUUGUGAUCCUUGACUAUGCAACCAGGUACCCGGAGGCCAUUCCCUUGAGGAACAUGACAACGAGAGUGAUUGCACGGGAGCUGCUUCACCUGUUCAGUCGAGUUGGGAUUCCUAAAGAGAUGCUAACAGACCAAGGCACUCCCUUCAUGUCCAAGAUAAUGAAGGAUCUCUGCAGGCUCUUCAAGGUAAAGCAGCUUCGUACAUCUGUCUACCAUCCGCAGACAGACGGAUUGGUAGAACGCUUUAACAAGACGUUGAAAUCCAUGUUAAAGAAGGUUGUUGACAAGGAUGGUCGUAACUGGGACCAGCUUCUGCCCUAUGUCCUGUUUUCAAUCAGGGAAGUUCCACAGGCUUCAACCGGUUUCUCCCCCUUCGAGCUGCUGUAUGGCCGACAGCCCAGAGGACUUCUCGACAUCGCGAAGGAAGCCUGGGAGGAGCAACCAAGCCCCCAUCGGAGCCUGAUUGAGCAUGUAGAGACGAUGCAGACGCAUAUGAAAGAUGUUUGGCCCAUGGUCAGAGAGCACAUGGCUCAAGCCCAAGAAGCCCAGAGGAAAGUGUAUAACAGAGGUGCCCAACCACGUGAGUUCCUGCCCGGGGAUAAAGUGCUUCUCCUGGUCCCCACCACAGAACACAGAUUCCUGGCAUCGUGGCAAGGUCCCUAUGAAGUGACAGAGAAGGUGGGACCAGUCAACUACAAGGUACGCCAACCUGGCCGUCGCAAACCAUCCCAAAUAUACCAUGUUAACCUGUUAAAGAAAUGGUAUGCCCGAGAGGCACUGCUGUGUUCUUGUUCCCUAUUUGUAUCCCCUUCUCCAGACCAUGAGGUGGCCGAAGUUGAAUACGGUCCAGGGCUAUCCAAAGCUCAGUUACAGCAAACCAAGGAACUGGUUCAGCAGAGUUUGGAUGUGUUCUCACUACGACCUGGACGCACAACGAUGGUGGAACAUCAAAUCCACACAGAGCCGGGCCAAAAGGUAAAGAUGCGACCCUACCGGGUGCCGGAGGCAAGACGGGCGGCCAUUGAGCAAGAAGUGCAGAAAAUGCUGGCUAUGGGGGUGAUUGAAGAACCUCACAGUGAGUGGACCAGCCCUGUCGUUCUGGUUCCUAAGCCAGACAAAACCAACAGGUUUUGUAAUGAUUUCAGAAAAUUGAAUGAAAUCUCCAAGUUUGAUGCGUAUCCUAUGCCCAGGAUAGAUGAGCUAAUUGAUCGGCUUGGGGAAGCCAGGUAUAUCAGCACUCUGGACUUGACGAAAGGGUAUUGGCAGGUCCUACUUGAAGCUGCCUCAAGAGAGAAGACGGCCUUCGCCACCCCCACAGGGCUGUACCAGUACACUGUGCUUCCCUUCGGGCUUCAUGGAGCACCAGCCACGUUCCAGAGACUGAUGGACAAGGUUCUGAGGCCACAUCGUGAGUAUGCAGCUGCCUAUUUGGAUGACGUUGUUAUCCACAGUGACUCAUGGGAUAGCCAUCUCAUAAGGCUUGCAGCAGUGCUGGAAUCUCUCCGCAGGGCGGGCUUGACAGCUAAUCCAAGAAAAUGCAAGCUUGGACUAGAGGAAGCCGAAUACCUGGGCUUCACCAUUGGGCGGGGCAACGUUAGACCACAAGAAAGGAAGGUUCAGGCGAUCCAGGACUGGCCACGGCCGUCAACAAAGAAACGGGUGAAAACAUUCUUGGGUCUGACGUCCUAUUAUUGCCGUUUCAUCCCAAACUUCUCCACAGUAGCCUCUCCCCUUACAGACCUGACCAGAGACUCACAGCCGCUAAUGGUCAAGUGGACAGGAGAGGCUGAACACGCCUUUGAGGAACUUAAGAGGGCUCUCUGCGCACGGCCGGUGUUGGUGACCCCAGACUUCAGCCGGGGGAUGAUUGUGCAGACGGAUGCGUCAGAGGUGGGCAUAGGAGCAGUACUAUCCCAGGAGGUUCACGGUGAGGAACACCCCGUCAUGUACAUCAGCCGGAAGCUGAACACAAGGGAACAAGUGUAUGCUACUGUGGAGAAAGAAGGCCUAGCAAUAAAAUGGGCGCUUGAGCGCCUCCGGUAUUACCUCUUGGGACGUCACUUCACUCUGGUAACUGAUCAUGCCCCACUGAUCUGGAUGGCAAAUAAAAAAGACACAAACGCUAAAGUAGGAAGGUGGUUUGUCUCACUACAGGAGUUUAACUUCUCUAUCAUCCACAGAGCCGGAGCCAAGCAUGGGAAUGCAGAUGCCCUGUCCCGUAGAGAUGCCCUGUGGACCAUGGUCACCUCUCCUAGGCCAGAACUGAAGGGGGGGGUGUGUAAGGGACUGAGAGGCAGAGUAGUGGGAGGCACCUACAUUCCCAAUAGGUGGCUCCACCCGCUGCCAAUUAGCAGUAUUGGGACCAGGUGUGGAGACCUCACACCUGGUGCUAAUCACUCCCUCAAGGGAGACAAAGCACACAGAGUUGCUCAGUUGUGUGUGGCACAUGGAGGGAGCAGGAGGCUCCCAGCGUGAGGAAACAUUUUUUCCUGUGUUUGCUCUCCGGUGUAACAUGGAGCACGUCUGCCUGCUGUUGUCCAGAACUGAGGAGUCCAGGAUUCAGAAAGGACUGGAGCUGUAUGAGAAGAGCCUGGUGCGGGUGGAGGACGGCAGCCUGCCUGCAGACCUGCUGGAGAUCAGAAGCUUCCUCACCGUCCCUCAGAACUUGGUGAAGGUGAUGACGUUAUGUACGAGGCAUGAUUUGAGAACCAGAGGUCUGAAGGUGCUGCAGCUGAGCAUCGAUAAGCUCAA
This is an RNA transcript of Trematomus bernacchii (emerald rockcod), 3123 nucleotides long. It is a transcript of the gene named glomulin, FKBP associated protein a, with no coding region annotated. The transcript has 6 exons. The record is from RefSeq and is a predicted model, not a curated record. Lineage: Eukaryota; Metazoa; Chordata; Actinopteri; Perciformes; Nototheniidae.